GACGAACGCUGGCGGCGUGCUUAACACAUGCAAGUCGAACGGAAAGGCCCCUUUGGGGGUACUCGAGUGGCGAACGGGUGAGUAACACGUGAGUAACCUGCCCUUGACUUCGGGAUAACUUCAGGAAACUGGGGCUAAUACCGGAUAGGAAUCCUUGCUGCAUGGUGGGGGUUGGAAAGCUUCGGCGGUUUUGGAUGGACUCGCGGCUUAUCAGCUUGUUGGUGGGGUAGUGGCUUACCAAGGCUUUGACGGGUAGCCGGCCUGAGAGGGCGACCGGCCACAUUGGGACUGAGAUACGGCCCAGACUCCUACGGGAGGCAGAAGUGGGGAAUAUUGCACAAUGGGCGGAAGCCUGAUGCAGCAACGCCGCGAGCGGGAGGACGGCCUUCGGGUUGUAAACCGUUUUCAGCAGGGGCGAAGCUUGUGGUGACGGUACCUGCAGAAGAAGCACCGGCUAACUACGUG
This 465-nucleotide ribosomal RNA is filed under the name uncultured bacterium. Its description in RNAcentral is "partial 16S ribosomal RNA". It matches the Rfam family "Bacterial small subunit ribosomal RNA", at positions 28 to 507 of the family's 1533-position model. The record is from RNAcentral.